This 75-nucleotide transfer RNA is filed under the name Marinoscillum furvescens DSM 4134. It matches the Rfam family "tRNA". From Rfam's summary of the family: Transfer RNA (tRNA) molecules are approximately 80 nucleotides in length. Their secondary structure includes four short double-helical elements and three loops (D, anti-codon, and T loops). Further hydrogen bonds mediate the characteristic L-shaped molecular structure. tRNAs have two regions of fundamental functional importance: the anti-codon, which is responsible for specific mRNA codon recognition, and the 3' end, to which the tRNAs corresponding amino acid is attached (by aminoacyl-tRNA synthetases). tRNAs cope with the degeneracy of the genetic code in two manners: having more than one tRNA (with a specific anti-codon) for a particular amino acid; and 'wobble' base-pairing, i.e. permitting non-standard base-pairing at the 3rd anti-codon position. RNAcentral also lists the same sequence under 1 other name. The record is from Rfam by way of RNAcentral. Lineage: Bacteria; Pseudomonadati; Bacteroidota; Cytophagia; Cytophagales; Reichenbachiellaceae.
CGGGGUGUGGCUCAGUCCGGUUAGAGUACCUGGUUUGGGACCAGGGGGUCGCAGGUUCGAAUCCUGCCACCCCGA